RNAcentral lists this ribosomal RNA (997 nucleotides) under Melolontha masafumii. RNAcentral describes it as "partial 16S ribosomal RNA". The stretch from base 407 to 997 matches the Rfam family "Archaeal large subunit ribosomal RNA", at positions 1423 to 2666 of the family's 2987-position model. The record is from RNAcentral. Lineage: Eukaryota; Metazoa; Arthropoda; Insecta; Coleoptera; Scarabaeidae.
UAAAAAUAGUUUAAUAAUUUAAUUAUCUCGAAUUAUAAAGAGCUAAUAUGGUAUAUAUUUAACUGUAGCAUAAUUUUUUAUAAUACAAUAUUAGAAAUGAAACGUUAGUCGUUUUUUAAGAUAUCUAGUUUUUUAAGAAAUAAAUUUAAUUUAGUUAGUUAAGUAUUUUGUGUUUCAUAGUUAAUAGGAAGUCUUGGCUAAGCAAUAUUUUAAGGGAUAAGCUUUAAAAUAGAAGUUUAAAAUAAAUAUGAAGAUAUAGGGAAAAAAUGUAGGAUUGGAAAUUUUUAUCUUUAGUUUGUUAUAAUUAGGUUUUUUUAUAUUAAGAUUUAUAUAGAGUUUAAAUUUUUUAUUAAAAUAAGUUAUUGAAUAGGGGUAUAUUUGUAAUUAUGAUAAAAUUAGUAUAGAUUAUUGUAAAAAGAAAUUGUAUAAGAUAGGUUAAGUUAAGGAACUCGGCAAAUAUAUUUUUCGCCUGUUUAUUAAAAACAUGUCUUUUUGAUUAUAAUUUAAAGUCUGACCUGCCCAAUGAGGAGUUAAAUGGCCGCGGUAAUUUGACCGUGCAAAGGUAGCAUAAUCAUUAGUUUUUUAAUUGAAAGCUGGUAUGAAUGGUUGGACGAGAGAAUAGCUGUCUCAAUUUAAUUGUAAUAGAAUUUUAAUUUUAAGUUAAAAUGCUUAAAUGUGUUUAAAAGACGAGAAGACCCUAUAGAGUUUUAUAUAAGAUAGUAUGUGUAAAUAUAGGAAUUUAUAGAAUUAUAUAUACAUAGGUUAUAUUUUGUUGGGGCGACAGAAAAAUUAAAGGAACUUUUUUUUGGUAAAAUCAUUAAUGUAUGAGUAAGUGAUCCGUUAUUUACGAUUAUAAGAUUAAAUUACCUUAGGGAUAACAGCGUUAUUUUUUUUGAGAGUUCAAAUCGAAAAAAGAGUUUGCGACCUCGAUGUUGGAUUAAAAUUUAUUUUUGGUGUAGGGGCUAGAAUAUUAGGUCUGUUCGACCUUUGAAAUUUU